Molecule: ribosomal RNA, 497 nt
Filed under: uncultured bacterium
Lineage: Bacteria
Description: partial 16S ribosomal RNA
Rfam family: Bacterial small subunit ribosomal RNA
Source: RNAcentral
GAUGAACGCUGGCGGCGUGCCUAAUACAUGCAAGUCGAGCGAACGGACGAGAAGCUUGCUUUUCUGAUGUUAGCGGCGGACGGGUGAGUAACACGUGGAUAACCUACCUAUAAGACUGGGAUAACUUCGGGAAACCGGAGCUAAUACCGGAUAAUAUUUUGAACCGCAUGGUUCAAAAGUGAAAGACGGUCUUGCUGUCACUUAUAGAUGUAUCCACGCUGCAUUAGCUAGUUGGUAAGGUAACGGCUUACCAAGGCAACGAUGCAUAGCCGACCUGAGAGGGUGAUCGGCCACACUGGAACUGAGACACGGUCCAGACUCCUACGGGAGGCAGCAGUAGGGAAUCUUCCGCAAUGGGCGAAAGCCUGACGGAGCAACGCCGCGUGAGUGAUGAAGGUCUUCGGAUCGUAAAACUCUGUUAUUAGGGAAGAACAUAUGUGUAAGUAACUGUGCACAUCUUGACGGUACCUAAUCAGAAAGCCACGGCUAACUACGUG